This 76-nucleotide transfer RNA is filed under the name Staphylococcus aureus. RNAcentral's name for it is "tRNA-Val". It matches the Rfam family "tRNA". From Rfam's summary of the family: Transfer RNA (tRNA) molecules are approximately 80 nucleotides in length. Lineage: Bacteria; Bacillati; Bacillota; Bacilli; Caryophanales; Staphylococcaceae. RNAcentral also lists the same sequence under 2 other names. The record is from RNAcentral.
GGAGAAUUAGCUCAGCUGGGAGAGCGUCUGCCUUACAAGCAGAGGGUCGGCGGUUCGAACCCGUCAUUCUCCACCA